RNAcentral lists this ribosomal RNA (433 nucleotides) under uncultured bacterium. RNAcentral describes it as "partial 16S ribosomal RNA". It matches the Rfam family "Bacterial small subunit ribosomal RNA", at positions 29 to 507 of the family's 1533-position model. The record is from RNAcentral.
AACGAACGCUGGCGGCAUGCCUAACACAUGCAAGUCGAGCGAGACCUUCGGGUCUAGUGGCGCACGGGUGCGUAACGCGUGGGAACCUGCCCUUAGGUUCGGAAUAACUCCCCGAAAGGGGUGCUAAUACCGGAUAAUGUCUUCGGACCAAAGAUUUAUCGCCUUUGGAUGGGCCCGCGUUGGAUUAGCUAGUUGGUAGGGUAAAAGCCUACCAAGGCGACGAUCCAUAGCUGGUCUGAGAGGAUGAUCAGCCUCACUGGGACUGAGACACGGCCCAGACUCCUACGGGAGGCAGCAGUGGGGAAUAUUGGACAAUGGGCGAAAGCCUGAUCCAGCAAUGCCGCGUGAGUGAUGAAGGCCUUAGGGUUGUAAAGCUCUUUUACCCGGGAUGAUAAUGACAGUACCGGGAGAAUAAGCUCCGGCUAACUCCGUG